GACAUCCAGAGAACUUAGCAGAGAUGCUUUGGUGCCUUUCGGGAACUCUGAGACAGGUGCUGCAUGGCUGUCGUCAGCUCGUGUUGUGAAAUGUUGGGUUAAGUCCCGCAACGAGCGCAACCCUUAUCCUUUGUUGCCAGCGGUCCGGUCGGGAACUCAAAGGAGACUGCCAGUGAUAAACUGGAGGAAGGUGGGGAUGACGUCAAGUCAUCAUGGCCCUUACGAGUAGGGCUACACACGUGCUACAAUGGCAUAUACAAAGAGAAGCGACCUCGCGAGAGCAAGCGGACCUCAUAAAGUAUGUCGUAGUCCGGAUUGGAGUCUGCAACUCGACUCCAUGAAGUCGGAAUCGCUAGUAAUCGUGGAUCAGAAUGCCACGGUGAAUACGUUCCCGGGCCUUGUACACACCGCCCGUCACACCAUGGGAGUGGGUGCAAAAGAAGUAGGUAGCUUAACCUUCGGGAGGGCGCUACCACUU
This 478-nucleotide ribosomal RNA is filed under the name Klebsiella michiganensis. RNAcentral describes it as "bacterial SSU rRNA". It matches the Rfam family "Bacterial small subunit ribosomal RNA", at positions 983 to 1462 of the family's 1533-position model. The record is from RNAcentral. Lineage: Bacteria; Pseudomonadati; Pseudomonadota; Gammaproteobacteria; Enterobacterales; Enterobacteriaceae.